This 240-nucleotide unclassified non-coding RNA is filed under the name soil metagenome. Its description in RNAcentral is "partial contains 5.8S ribosomal RNA, internal transcribed spacer 2, and large subunit ribosomal RNA". The record is from RNAcentral.
AACCAUAGAAACCUGCGGAGUACCUGCGGAGGGAUCAUUAUAGUUUAUGGAAUCUCCAUUCUAUAAACCCACUCUGCGUAUCUUGUAACUGUUGCUUCCAUGGGACUUGGUUCCGCCACACCGGCUUCACGGCUGGUGAGCGCCCAUGGAAGGAGAAACAAAACUCUUCUUUGAAAUGUAGUCAGUCUGAACAAGUUUUUAUAAACGUUAAAACUUUCAGCAAUGGAUCUCAGAUCGGAA